RNAcentral lists this ribosomal RNA (235 nucleotides) under uncultured bacterium. RNAcentral's name for it is "partial 16S ribosomal RNA". It matches the Rfam family "Bacterial small subunit ribosomal RNA", at positions 100 to 334 of the family's 1533-position model. The record is from RNAcentral.
CGGCACGGGUGAGUAACACGUAUCCAACCUGCCGUCUACUCUUGGACAGCCUUCUGAAAGGAAGAUUAAUACAAGAUGGCAUCAUGAGUCCGCAUGUUCACAUGAUUAAAGGUGUUCCGGUAGACGAUGGGGAUGCGUUCCAUUAGAUAGUAGGCGGGGUAACGGCCCACCUAGUCUUCGAUGGAUAGGGGUUCUGAGAGGAAGGUCCCCACAUUGGAACUGAGACACGGUCCAA